UACGUAGGUGGCAAGCGUUAUCCGGAUUUAUUGGGCGUAAGGGGAACGCAGGCGGUCUUUUAAGUCUGAUGUGAAAGCCUUCGGCUUAACCGGAGUAGUGCAUUGGAAACUGGGAGACUUGAGUGCAGAAGAGGAGAGUGGAACUCCAUGUGUAGCGGUGGAAUGCGUAGAUAUAUGGAAGAACACCAGUGGCGAAAGCGGCUCUCUGGUCUGUAACUGACGCUGAGGUUCGAAAGCGUGGGUAGCAAACAGG
RNAcentral lists this ribosomal RNA (253 nucleotides) under uncultured bacterium. RNAcentral describes it as "partial 16S ribosomal RNA". It matches the Rfam family "Bacterial small subunit ribosomal RNA", at positions 524 to 776 of the family's 1533-position model. The record is from RNAcentral.